GAACUUGAGUAGUGCACCUAAAACUCAGGCGGUGCCCUGUUGUGGUGGAGGUAUUAGUACUCUGAGAAAGUCAUGCGACUGGAUGCACACUACACUUUUAUAUUUCCUUGCUUUGACAGUUGCCAUGCUUGAAAAUAUAUAUCAAUUAAUUACAUGUGUAUUAGCUUAAGAUUUAUUUCAUAUCUCUAUUAGAAUCUCAUGUCAUAUAAUUCAUGAUGUUUGUGGGUAACAUUCCUGAAAACCCUCACGAGACAACACUCGUCCACUAGGGUAACCUAGGGGUUUAACGGCUUGUUGCACAUGCUAAGUGCAAUCGUGAUUCCUACGAAAGUGAGUAC
RNAcentral lists this long non-coding RNA (338 nucleotides) under Phoenix dactylifera (date palm). RNAcentral describes it as "long non-coding RNA (PDAC_LNC021402)". Lineage: Eukaryota; Viridiplantae; Streptophyta; Magnoliopsida; Arecales; Arecaceae. The record is from RNAcentral.